RNAcentral lists this long non-coding RNA (210 nucleotides) under Elaeis guineensis (African oil palm). RNAcentral's name for it is "long non-coding RNA (EGUI_LNC064127)". Lineage: Eukaryota; Viridiplantae; Streptophyta; Magnoliopsida; Arecales; Arecaceae. The record is from RNAcentral.
UGCGCCAUAAGGAGUCCCAUGCCCUACCAGAUUUUUGGAUGCCAAAUACACCCCACGCCCUCUACUUCUUUUGCAUGUCAGAAUCAAUGGAAAUCCUCUUUUCUCUGUGUGACAUUCGGGCACAAAUAGGAAGGUAUGUGGGCGGCACAAUUCUAGAGUCCAAAGGAGUUUGGACUCUCACCUAAACCCUAUCUCUUCUUUGAUUUAAAC